AUCAAAAUCCAACCAAACAACCCCCCACGACGACGACAAGGACGAUGACUAUGAUGAUGAUGACGAUGUGACAAUAAAAUGUCCGCAGUGCCCAUCGUUUGGCCAUGGCCAUAAAAUGUAUCCAUGGAUGCAUGAGCAUAAGCGCUUUAACUGCAGCUCGCCCUGGUUUUAUGGACAGUGCGUUGCAUAAGUGCAAUGUAGUUGAUGAUUUGAAUUGCGGGGAUUUAAAGUCUAUUACCUAAAGCUAUAUAACUGCCUGAAUUCUAUUAAAUGGCGAAGAAAAUGGCACUAAGGAAUCAAAAU
Non-coding RNA from Drosophila melanogaster (fruit fly), 303 nucleotides. NCBI's taxonomy places the organism in Eukaryota, Metazoa, Arthropoda, Insecta, Diptera, Drosophilidae. The record is from Ensembl.